AGGGUUUGAUUAUGGCUCAGGAUAAACGCUAGCGGCAGGCCUAACACAUGCAAGUCGAGGGGCAGCGGGUGGAGUAUUUCGGUACUCCUGCCGGCGACCGGCGCACGGGUGCGUAACGCGUAUGCAACCUACCUUUAACAGGGGGAUAAUCCGAAGAAAUUUGGUCUAAUACCCCAUAAUAUCAUUUAAGGCAUCUUAGAUGGUUGAAAAUUCCGAUGGUUAGAGAUGGGCAUGCGUUGUAUUAGCUAGUUGGUGAGGUAACGGCUCACCAAGGCUACGAUACAUAGGGGGACUGAGAGGUUUUCCCCCCACACUGGUACUGAGACACGGACCAG
Molecule: ribosomal RNA, 335 nt
Filed under: uncultured bacterium
Lineage: Bacteria
Description: bacterial SSU rRNA
Rfam family: Bacterial small subunit ribosomal RNA
Source: RNAcentral